AGAGUUUGAUCCUGGCUCAGGAUGAACGCUUGCGGCGUGCUUAACACAUGCAAGUCGAACGAAGCACUUUAUUUGAUUUCUUCGGAAUGAAGAUUUUGUGACUGAGUGGCGGACGGGUGAGUAACGCGUGGGUAACCUGCCUCAUACAGGGGGAUAACAGUUGGAAACGACUGCUAAUACCGCAUAAGCGCACAGGGUCGCAUGACCUGGUGUGAAAAACUCCGGUGGUAUGAGAUGGACCCGCGUCUGAUUAGCCAGUUGGUGGGGUAACGGCCUACCAAAGCGACGAUCAGUAGCCGACCUGAGAGGGUGACCGGCCACAUUGGGACUGAGACACGGCCCAAACUCCUACGGGAGGCAGCAGUGGGGAAUAUUGCACAAUGGGGGAAACCCUGAUGCACCGACGCCGCGUGAGCGAAGAAGUAUUUCGGUAUGUAAAGCUCUAUCAGCAGGGAAGAAGAAAUGACGGUACCUGACUAAGAAGCACCGGGCUAAAUACGUGCCAGCAGCCGCGGUAAUACGUAGGGGGCAAGCGUUAUCCGGAUUUACUGGGUGUAAAGGGAGCGUAGACGGUUAUGUAAGUCUGAUGUGAAAACCCGGGGCUCAACCCCGGGACUGCAUUGGAAACUAUGUAACUAGAGUGUCGGAGAGGUAAGUGGAAUUCCUAGUGUAGCGGUGAAAUGCGUAGAUAUUAGGAGGAACACCAGUGGCGAAGGCGGCUUACUGGACGAUGACUGACGUUGAGGCUCGAAAGCGUGGGGAGCAAACAGGAUUAGAUACCCUGGUAGUCCACGCCGUAAACGA
Molecule: ribosomal RNA, 804 nt
Filed under: uncultured bacterium
Lineage: Bacteria
Description: bacterial SSU rRNA
Rfam family: Bacterial small subunit ribosomal RNA
Source: RNAcentral